This 369-nucleotide ribosomal RNA is filed under the name uncultured soil bacterium. Its description in RNAcentral is "bacterial SSU rRNA". It matches the Rfam family "Bacterial small subunit ribosomal RNA", at positions 26 to 399 of the family's 1533-position model. The record is from RNAcentral.
AGAUUGAACGCUGGCGGCAGGCCUAACACAUGCAAGUCGAGCGGUAGAGAGGUGCUUGCACCUCUUGAGAGCGGCGGACGGGUGAGUAAUGCCUAGGAAUCUGCCUAGUGGUGGGGGAUAACGUUCGGAAACGGACGCUAAUACCGCAUACGUCCUACGGGAGAAGCGGGGGACCUUCGGGCCUCGCGCCAUUAGAUGAGCCUAGGUCGGAUUAGCUAGUUGUGAGGUAUGGCUCACAAGGCGACGAUCCGUAAUGGUCUGGAGAGGAUGAUCAGUCACACUGGAACUGAGACACGUCAGCUCCGUACGGGAGCAGCAGGUGGGAAUAGUAGGACAAGUGGGACGAAAGCCUAGACUCCGAGCCAGUCG